GACGGGUAAAAUACCGUUAGCGGUAAAACUUAUCCGGUAAAUAUUAGGAUUUUAAAUAAUUAAUCCUAAUAUUAGAUAAGAAGUGAAUAAAUGCUUGAGACAAUAAAGUUAUGAAAGGCCCGAGUUAACGGGACUUAAAAUAUAACGGGUUAUAACUUCCCGAACCUAUUAAGUUAACUAGGGAUAAUUAACCUAGUUAUUAGUAUGAGGCUAAGUGAUAAAUAGUGAGUUGUAGCUUCAAAUGAUCAAAAUAAAACAUGGGGGACUAGGGUUGCCUAGUGAAGAAACUUGUUUUAAUUAAAUCAAGAAAUAAAACACAACACACACUAAGAGUGUGUGUGUGUGUGCGUACGACCAGGAGGGGCUCCAAGGAGCCAAACCCUAGCUUGAUCAAUACCUUCAAAUUGGAGGAUCAAUUCAAGACCAAAUCAAUGCAUGAACGCGUAUAAACGAUCACCGAGUCAAGAGGAUCGAAAGGUGGAGGCUUGGGAAAGAAGCGGUCAAACGAAUCAAGCACGAGAAGAAAAAGCGUAUUCGGGUGCGAGGAGUAAAUGUGAAAUGGGUAUUAGCAACGCCAUGGAUUAGCGGUUAUAAAAGCAAGGUAUUAAAAACGGGUUGAUAUAUUGACCCGCGCCAGGUAUGUGAAACAGGGUAACACUCAUUUAGAAUAUGUGGUUCAACGAGUGCUAAUAGAAGUCAAAAUAAACAUUUGGUUACUUGAUAAGUAAACCAAAUGUUUAAUAUAGUGAACAUUGCGUUGGGAAGCUUAAUGACUUUUCAAACAAAAUUAUAAGUUAAAAGAGGGAUUUCGGGUCGAAUAUACCUCCAAAAGCCCUUCAUCGUAAAUGAUUGGCUAAACGGACUAAAACGCCCUUAUAAGCUAAAUUGGACAAGCUACCUUUAAAGGUAGUUUUGAAACG
Molecule: long non-coding RNA, 920 nt
Organism: Helianthus annuus (common sunflower)
Lineage: Eukaryota; Viridiplantae; Streptophyta; Magnoliopsida; Asterales; Asteraceae
Exons: 3
Source: RefSeq, a predicted model, not a curated record